GAUGAAGAACGUAGUGAAAUGCGAUAAGUAAUGUGAAUUGCAGAAUUCAGUGAAUCAUCGAAUCUUUGAACGCACAUUGCGCCCCUCGGUAUUCCGGGGGGCAUGCCUGUUCGAGCGUCAUUAUAACCCUCAAGCCUAGCUUGGUGUUGGAGCAUGCUACCUAGCAGCUCUUAAAAUCAGUGGCAGUGCCCUUCGGCUCUAAGCGUAGUAACUCUUCUCGCUAUAGAAAUCGGAUGGUACGCGCCAGAACCCCUAACUUUAUAUGGUUGACCUCGGAUCAGGUAGGGAUACCCGCUGAACUUAAGCAUAUCAAUAAGCGGAGGA
RNAcentral lists this unclassified non-coding RNA (324 nucleotides) under soil metagenome. RNAcentral's name for it is "partial contains 5.8S ribosomal RNA, internal transcribed spacer 2, and large subunit ribosomal RNA". The stretch from base 1 to 120 matches the Rfam family "5.8S ribosomal RNA", at positions 35 to 154 of the family's 154-position model. The record is from RNAcentral.